Molecule: non-coding RNA, 32 nt
Filed under: Geobacter sulfurreducens KN400
Lineage: Bacteria; Pseudomonadati; Thermodesulfobacteriota; Desulfuromonadia; Geobacterales; Geobacteraceae
Source: RNAcentral
GUCUGGUCCGAGGCGGCCUCGGCCGCCGGGGU